Molecule: ribosomal RNA, 254 nt
Filed under: uncultured bacterium
Lineage: Bacteria
Description: partial 16S ribosomal RNA
Rfam family: Bacterial small subunit ribosomal RNA
Source: RNAcentral
UACGUAGGGUGCGAGCGUUAAUCGGAAUUACUGGGCGUAAAGCGUAUGCAGGCGGAUCGUUAAGUCGGGGGUGAAAUCCCGAGGCUCAACCUCGGAACUGCCUUCGAUACUGGCGACCUUCGAGUCCGGGAGAGGUGAGUGGAACUCCGAGUGUAGAGGUGAAAUUCGUAGAUAUUCGGAAGAACACCAGUGGCGAAGGCGGCUCACUGGCCCGGUACUGACGCUGAGAUACGAAAGCGUGGGGAGCAAACAGG